UCUUGGCAUUGGCGUAAGCUAAUUAUAUGGAAAGAACGUUUUCAACUAAAAAGAUUUGGGUUUUUUUAAAUGUGCUUAUUUUUUGCAAGGUAUAGAUAAUUUAUUGUACAAGUUUGUUCAAACUUCAAUUGAAAGAUGGAAACAGGAUACAUUUGAACGUGUAACAGAAUAUGUAUGUUGAUGUGUGUGACACAGAACAGUAUUGAGUUCUGUAUUUGUGAAAAAUAAAAUUGAACUCUAUAACCAACAUUCUGCAAUUGCAUGAAUGAGCAUCGAUAAUACCAAGAAGUAUGAAGCAAGCGAUGUGGCAAAAACAGAGCGUCUGUAAAUACUUUCACCGAAUCACUGUCUGGAACUCAAUCUUGAAAUAGAGACAUGAUGCAUUUGAACUUUCAAUGAUGAAAGCAUAUUCUUCUAGGAAAAUUACGUUUUGCACCAUUCUGCAACGUAGUGGAACACUGAUGAAAGCAAACAUUAUAAAUACUAAGAAUAAAAUACCAACACUUUGCUCCUGGCUUUUAACCUGGACGACAGAACAAUAGUAUUCUUCACUGGUAUGCACAGUGAGUGAAUAAAGAAAUGACGAAAAUUGAUUAAUGGCUAAUAUUCUAGUUAUAGAGAUUAACAUCUUCAGCUGACUAUCUCCAACGGAGUAUAUUUGUCUGGUGCAUUCCAGUCUCAUUCACUGACAACUCAGAUAAUCGUUAAUUCCAAUUCUGUGAAACAGACUUAGAGUAUUGCAAUGGCAAAGAGACGGGUAAUGUGGUAUUACAAAAAUCUUUGCGCUGUAGUCGAAGGAAAGGCUAAAUGUGAGUAACUGCUGUAUUCGUUGGAUAAAUAUAAAGCAUCUGCCACAAGGAUCAAGUGUUGGGUCCUUAUUUGCAUGCAAGUUCAACCGACCAAAGCAAAUCUCUACUUAAUGGAAAGAGUCAAAGGUUUAUAACGGUGAAAGAGUUUAAUGGUACUAACUAGAUAAUCUGUGCUUGUUUGAAAUUUUGAAAAUGAAACUUUUGUUCCCGUAGUCUCAAACGUUACCAUAUAUUAAGAGCUUGGAAAAAUCAUCCUAAUAACAAAACCGUCUAUGAAUCGUAGUUAACUUCUGUGGUUAUGAGAGCUUCUAAAAAUAUAUGGGAUGAUCGACCGAGAUGAAAACAAACAAUGACCAUGUGCACACGAGUGUGGUUCAAUGGUGGUGUUAUUUCUACACAUGAAAAGUAGAAAUUUGUCAACGGAAACCCGAUCUCUGACGAACUAAAAUUAAGAUUCUGCAAAAAAUCUACGAAGAUAAUUGUUAUAGUCCACAAGGUAGUUCAAGAAUGUUGCCAUGCAGAAUGUUGGUAAAGAUAGAUAACUAAGAACAUUAUGAACAGAAACUUGUUCUUCCUAGACAUAGGCUUAAAUUUAAGAAACAUUUCUUAGUGACAUAUCGUUUAACAUUCUACCAUUUUAUUUACCUUUUUUCUUAAAUAAUAAUACAAUAAAGUGUGAGAGAUGUUAGAAUUUUCAAUAGCUGCGCAAACUUUAAGAUAUUUGUAAAACAAAAUGUUGGUAGCAUUUGUCUUAAAUAAUCGUUGCCAUCUUCAAAGAUGUGUCAACAACGUUUAACCAAAGUAUUUCAAAAGUAAAAUCUUGUGUCUGUUCAACUUUCAUUCAUCUCGCACCUCUGAUAUUCUGACGCCUCUCCAAGUAGGCCUAUAUAUCCCUUUUCACAAGACGAAAUAGAAUCCGAAAGCCAUUAUGAAUAUUUUUAAAUAUCACAAGGUUUUUCCGAGGUGUUGUAACAAUCGAUAUGUUGAAUCCUCCUAGAAGUCCUUUCGGAUUUUGUUUCGUCUUCUAUUUUUGAAAUUCUUGACCGAUUCUUGAAGAUCGUGCAAACUCUAUUGUCUCUUUAAUAUUGUUAAUGUUAGAAGUUAAUCUAAAUAUUAUGAAUAUGGACUAAAAAUAAAAACGUGUACACAUAUAUAGUUCAAAUUGUUAAAAUAUAUUCUGUUAAAAAGUCAAAAGAGUCUGGUUUUGAUAAUUUUCAGAAAGAUAUAGGGGAUUGUUACAUCCAUGCACUGGGC
Molecule: long non-coding RNA, 2063 nt
Filed under: Paramuricea clavata
Lineage: Eukaryota; Metazoa; Cnidaria; Anthozoa; Malacalcyonacea; Plexauridae
Source: RNAcentral